UCCAUCGAUAGGCCAUCUUGGGGCUGGGACUUAAGGUCACAUAGCAAACUCCCAGAACUGAAUUGAGAGAGCAAAGUUAACGGCACUGUCUUUGCAACACUCCUGCCUUUUCACAUCAUGGGUGUCAAGGAAUUUUCAGAACUAAUGUCCUCAGGUAAGAGGGACAGUGACACCCAGCUAUUGACACUGCACAUUUUUAUUAGCCAGGGUACAGGAAGCAGUGGGGUCUGCGUUAAACUGACCCAGUGUUGUCCAUAGAAGGAGCAGCUGCUCCCAUCCCUGUGCAAUAUGACCACUUGGGAAAUCAGUGAUAUAUCCCUUUUAUUCCCCUCUAAGAGAAACCAGAAAUGUGCAUCCCUUUUAGUCUGGGAUAGAAAUCUUCUGGUUUUAAAGUGCUGACAAUACAUUUUAUUUACACAAACCCCGGACAAGCUAAAGGAAAUAGAUCUCCCAAGAAGACACAGGAGGAUGGCCACGGGGUAGCUUCUAGGCGAGUGUCUUCUAGGAGUGUCCAGAUGGAACUGAGGCCACAGUCCUUCCAUUUCCUGGGCUUCUAAUGGAUCACUGUGUUCGGCAAGAUGAGCAGAACACUAGACUCCUAAUCUGUGAUGGAGUCUUUUUCCCAGAAAGUUGAGCCAGUGACCCUCAGAGGAUGCCCAUCUGGAGGGACAAGAAGGACAUUUCUCUGGAACGGCAUACAGCCCAUGAAUCCAUGGUACGUCAGCCAUGAUGUCCUCCGGGACCACUGAGCCAGGCUGUGGGAGGGCAUGCUGUGACAGCUGCCACAGCUCAGCUCUAGGGUGCUGGCUGCUGCCAUUUGCUGAGCAGAUGUCCCCACCUCCCAUCCCAUCUCUUCCCACAGGUAAAGAUCUCCUUUGCACCUGGUGUGGGGUGGAAGGAUGGGAGGUUCCCACUCAAACCUCAGUCGUGGCCAAGUCAUUGUUUCCCAGCCUUCUAGAGACCAAAGCCAGGGACAGUGUAGGGCAUUUCUGCCUUUUAGUCACUAGCUAAUGACCAGAGAUAGAAACCAUAGGAGAGGCUUAGCCCCAAAAGGCAGAUUGUCUUCAUAGGAAGACUCUAGCCUCUCCUGCUACUUGUAUAUAUUUCAUACCAGAUCUGUGUCUUAUUAGAUGCCAGAUGAUUUUUUCAAAGAAAUUUCUUUUCUGCGCCUCUGUGCGUGCGUGUGUGUGUGUGUGUGUGUGUGUGUGUGUGUGUGUGUGUGUAGGGGGUGGGGGUGUCAUAUCAUUUUACUCAGAGGCUUGGGGGUCAGGAGAGCUGAAGAGAUCCACACAACCUUCUGUCCUCUGUCAAGCAGGUCUUCCUACCUCCCUCACUGCAAGAAGCCCAAAGCAAUUUCUUGGAAGGAAAUGUUUUCUGCAUCAGUCACCUAUUGUCAGGAAAAUGCUGUGUAACAAACCUCCCCAGGCCUCGGUAAUGUAAAGCAAGAAGUAUUUCUUCAGCUCAGUAGUCUGGUGGGAGUCCAGCUGGGCUAGGGUAGGCUGGACUGCACCAGACUCAAAUGAUUGAGUUCAGAAAUCUGUGGUAAGCUUCCAGGUCCACUACAAGGCUCUGCCAGUGUGGGCGGGAGCCCCUGGCAUGUUUGUAAAGUGGUGAGCUAUCAGGUGGACUAGGUUGGUCUCAUUGAAGAUGGAGCCAGGCAGCUCUCGUCUUGGAGCCAUCUAACCCAGGCAUUUGUACCACGUAGCAACGGCAGUAAGUCAGACUUCUGGCUGAAGCCCAUGUGCUCACAUUCUAAUUGACAGUGUCUCAUGUCACAUUGAGCAGGAGAGGGAGGAAACACAGUGGAGUCAAGCAGCAAAGGGGACAGGGGAGGAAGGCAGAAAUUCCGAGGCCCACAAUGCAUCUGGCCACUCCAAGGACCUGGAGCUCAGAUGAAGGAAGCAUUUCAAACAAGGCCAAAGAUGCCUAGAGAAGAGGCUGGGCCCUCAACCCAUGCACGCCCUUGGAAACCCGUGGCCCCCAAGCAGCCCUUGGAAGCGCAAAUGUCUACCACUUUCAAAGCUGUGAAAAAGAUUCUCUCUGUGUUGAGGUAACAUCUUCUGGGCCAAAUGGAAUGUGGAGUAGCUGCCUAUUUAAUACAGUUGUUAGAGAAAGUCAACUCCAAGCCCUAACUUGCUAAUUUCUGCUAAACAUACAGAGUCGUCUCUGGGCUCUCUUUGCCCAUGUUGGCAGAGCUUGGUGAAUACUGCUCCUUUGUAGCAUCUCCCUUUGCUGGCUGUGUGACCUUAGCUGUGUUACCAACCCCUCUGAGUCUGCUCUGCUCUUUCAGUAAGGCAAAGGACAGAUUAUUGAUGAAGGUGAGAAGAAGUUUACAUGUGGGGAGUUUUAGCAGUGCCUGGCUUGUGGCAAAAGCUCCUUAGGCAUGCUUGCUUGUUUGCUUCAUUCAUUCAUUCAUUCAUUCAUUCAUUCAUUCAUCAUCCAUUCAAGACAAGGUCUCAGUAUGUAGCCCUGGCUAACCUGUAAUUUUCUAUGUAGACCAGGCUACCCUUGAACUUAUGAUGAUCCUCUGCUUCUGCUUGCUGAGCGAUGGAUAAGUGUUUGGCUUGCGCGUAUGACUGGGCACCAUGUCUGAGCCUGCUGCCGGCAGAGAUCAAAAUAGGGUGUCAGAUCUACCGGAAGUGGAGUUAUGGGCAGGUGUGACCCACCGCACAGGUGCUGGGAAUUCAAUCCUAGCCCUUUGUAAGAACUACCAUUGCUCUUAACCACUGAGAUACCUCUCUGGCUUUGCCUACGGUGAUAAUCAGAGAAGCACUAGGCUUCCCAUGAUGGUUGGUGAGACCCAAGUUCUAGGGUUCGUGUUUGUUUUCUGAAUGUGUUUCUUCAGAAUGGCUGAAACCAUCAAACUCUUGAGGUCUGGGAGCCCCGGAUUAAAAGCCUGUGUUCCUACUGCCGCCGCAGGUUCAUUUAAAACCAUCUGAACCUCCAGGCACAAGAGCGCUGCCUCGUGAAAGCCCCCCUCAUAGUGCACACUCAUGGGUCAGAAAUGGUGCUGUGGCAUCCACAAAGAGACCGAUUGUCAGAUUGUCAUGAGGCAUUUGUCCACAGGAUGGGAGGGAGGUGCUGUGACUGCCCCUGAUGUAAUGUUCCACGUAUGGUUGGGACUGUGCUGGGGAGAACUGUUGAAAGCAGAGUACCACUGACC
Molecule: long non-coding RNA, 3163 nt
Filed under: Mus musculus (house mouse)
Lineage: Eukaryota; Metazoa; Chordata; Mammalia; Rodentia; Muridae
Description: long non-coding RNA chr2:169770001-169773164
Source: RNAcentral